This 775-nucleotide long non-coding RNA is filed under the name Homo sapiens (human). RNAcentral describes it as "non-protein coding lnc-HUS1-2:1". Lineage: Eukaryota; Metazoa; Chordata; Mammalia; Primates; Hominidae. The record is from RNAcentral.
GCCUCGUUGCGGCCAUCGCCCUGCCGGACCGCGCCUCAGGCUCCCCCAGGAGGUGUUGCUGAAGGGGAUAGCAGAGACCUGAGGAGGAGGCAGUAUGGCAAGAACAGUGAGUGGAAGGGCUGACCUACCAUUUGGCAGUCGCAGCUUAUAUCUGCUUAGGACUCUACACAAGGACCCAUUUUACAGAUGAGUAAAAUACCAAGUAAAUUCUUAAAGUCUGGGAACAGUUAGGGAUCUGAAUGAGCCCAGUUCUCUGACUCUAUGUGCCCCAUUCCUUUCUUAAGAUCAGCCUGUUGUAAACCACCCCUGUUCAGGGGAAGCCUCUUGUUCCCUCCCUGUGUCCCUGUGUAUGAACUUGAGAGGGGGAGGAACUUUCCACCUUCCUGAGGGCAGAAAGCAUUGUUUAGAUCCCUGCCACUUACUAGGAAGCCAGAGACAUUUGCUGAGUGCCUCAGCAGCACGCUUAGAAUUGAGGCUUCGAGGCUUCCUCACAGCGGCCCCCAUAGAUUUCCCAGGGAGGGGCCUCCUGUCUUGCGGGUUGAUCUGGUGGGUUUGCCCCAUGCAGCAGGAGCUAUCAUGGGAAGGGUGGGUCUGGGCGUCUGAAGCUCUCCAGGAGGUCAGCUGACCCUGGGACCCCGGGUCCUUCCUGUAGGACCCCAGAAAUCACUGGGGAAUCAGCUAACCCCUGCAAGCUGUGCCUGGAAUGACCUAGAGCCAGUCCUGUCUACCUAGAAUCCUCUGCUGCUAUCCUUGUUGAUCUAGAAUGAGGGAUGCU